CCUGCAAGGACACAAAAAGAAAAACUAGCAAUGGUUUAUGAUGACAGUGUCCUCAGAAGACCCAAACCUGUCAUUUAAUACAACAGAAUACAUCCUGCUCAUUUAAUUCCACAGAAUAAAUACAUCCUGCUCAUCUUAACAGAGGCUGCAAACCUGAAAUGUACUUACAUAAUAGGGAUCUUCAAUAAUGAGCUGCUUCUGUGGAUCAUAGCUCCCAAGUAGCUCGAUUUUAGCUUUGCAGUUUUUAACUUGAUUACUUUUUCUAUUCAGAUCUCUGGAAAAUCGAAACAUGAACUUAGAUUUCUGAUCUAUGGUUUUAAGUUAAACAGGGACAUCUGCUCAGGGUUUAUGAAAUAUCCUAUCAAAACAGUACAACCUCAUUUGGAAUGAAACAGAAUACUCUGCAGACCUAUGGACUUCUGCAGCUGUAUGCCACAGUGCACUGAUUCUGACACCCAAAAUGUGUAUCUUUAAUUUAUAUAAUAAAGUUUUCCUCUGUGAAAUGUAUUUUGAUACAAUAAAAAUGAUAACAUUUCAGAUACAUAAAAUGGCAGAAAAGAACUCAAAAGACCAUGUAUACCAUAUCCCAGGACAAAGAAACAGUUUGGACAACGUUCAGGGCAAGGAAGGCAGGGAAGAUGGACUCAGUGUAGGAGAGCUGAGUGAGGUCAGGACCAAGUGUGGUUGGGCAAGUUUAGUGGAAAGCAGGCCACAGUGGCAGCAGCUAUGGUUUUAUGCUCCCUAUAGCCCACCCAUCCAUCCUAUGAACCUAGGGAAGUAAUUUAAGUUCAUGGUUCCUUGAUUUCUUCUUUGAUAAUAAAACAAAUUUAUUGAUGAGGGAUGUGGACCUGCAGGCCACAUCUUAACCCUGAGCCCAUCCGUGCUGGUUAGCCAAAAACCAUAAACCCAGUGCGGUCUGUCUUGUCACUUACUCUACAGAGCAGCAACUAUACGGAAAUAGGAUACAAGCGCCUCCUCAUCUGUGACAGGAGCAAAAGAACCAGUGACCAAGGCAUCAAUCACCUCCACACCUGGAGCCCCGAACCAGCUGCUCUCCCUGUCCAUUCCUGUAGUGGCUGGACGGUCUCUCAGAAGACACACUUCUGUAAAGAUCUGAGAUAACCAUACCUUGAUCCUCCUGCCCUCCUGAACACUCUGUAGAUUGUAAUCAACCUUGUACACAAAAACUGUAAGACACUAGCAAGUCAUUCUGGACAACUUGUUGGGCCUAUAACACAACUGAGAGGAGGAAAGAAAUACUGUGUAAAGUAUGAUUACUGCAUGAACUGGACAUGGCAGUGCUUACCUUUUAACCUAACACUCAGGAAGCAGGGAUAAGUAUACCUGAGUUCAAGGUCAAAUCUACAAAGUGAGUUACAAGGCAGACAGGGCUACACAGGGAAACCCUUUAUCAAAAAAACAAAAAUAUAUGAUUACCUCAGAUUGCUUUCAUCCAUACACAGUAUAUAAUCGAAUGUGGCAAAGUCUUCUCUUGUAAUCUACAAUUAAGAAAUCAAAAAACAGUGAUUACAUCCAUACAACAUUAUAGCUGAAAAAACCAUGUAAUUACAUGUUAACUCAUUAACUAAAUUCUAUGUUCACUUAUCCACUAAAAUUAAAAAAAAAAAAAACACACAAUUUAGAGUACAUUUGAAGUUAAAACAAAAUCAUUGUAUUUCCAAAACUUUAUUACAAAAUAGUUUUGUAAAAGGUUCUUUGAAAUAAUCAGAAAUAUAAAACAUGGACGUAAAGUUUGUUGUUGUUAGUUUUGGUCCCUCUGUAAGAUGUAAUCUGAAAUGACUCCAUGCAGUCACCCCCACCACAUCCAUCAUUCCAUGCCUUAGGCCUUGGGAACCACUCCAGAUUAAUUAAGGAACAGUUCUUUGUUCUUGUGAGGCCAUCCCUGUGAAGGAGAAUAAAUACUCUCAAGGAAAGCAAGAAAGAGAGAAGACACAGAGCCUCAGAACAGGGGAACUAAUGGAUUCUCAAAAGGUAGAAGGCCCACCAGGGACAAGGAUCCACGAGUGCAAGUCUGUCUGAAGCUAACAGGGAGGAUCCCGCAGGUCCUCAUCAAUGUGCUCUAUUCUGGCACCACAUAAUUUAAGACACGUAAGCUCCCUUCAGUGCAGCUGAAGAAGUUUAUCUUCUAGAUUUUGACUACCCAGGAAACACCUGGGUUAAAAGAACAAUGACUAUAACCAAACAGUAAUAAAAAUGGUCACUUGCUUGUCACUCUAUUAAAAAUGAGGAAUUUUAGCUUUUAGUAUGCACGUCCAUAUACUAAUAGCAUAGCACUUAAAUAAUCAAAGGACUGUAUUGUUUUGAUAUCCCCAAUACCCAACACUUAUAACUUAUUUCAAAGACAUUAAACAAAUACUAUCAUAAAAUGUUAUUUUUUCAAGUUAUGAAGAAUAUCUUAGCAUUAGUUUUGGACUUAUUAUAAAUAAUUUAUCCUAAAAAAUGUACUGCUUAGUGAUUUAUAGAGUCAAGCCACACAGGAUUUUUGUAUUUUAAAACGAACUGAGAAAGAAGAGCAGCUAGAACUUACGUCAUGGAAAAUGCACAGUGAAGCACAGGACAAAUUAAUCCCAUUAUUAGAGCCUACACAGAAACCAAGACUCUUCUCCAAGACUAUGAACACGCUCCUAAGAAUACCUGGCCCACUAGAGCAGUGUGACAAACAGGAAUAUAGCCACAGAUAACACAUCACCUCCAGUUGAGUCCCUAUGUGUGGACCUUAACUGCUCAUCCCAGUGAGUACUGCUUGGAUCCUCCCAGAGUUCUCUCCCAAGUCAUUAUACCCAAGAGCUCUUUAACCCCCAAGGUAGUCAAGUCCAUUUCCAAACAGCCCAUUUAGGAGGUUUUAUCAAUGCUAAAACUAAAACAAAAUCAAUUUUUUCUUAAUUUGAAAAAAUGCAAAUCCAGGACUAGAAAAAUGGCUCGGUGGUUAAAGGUAUGUUACUAUUGCAAAGGACCCAGGUUCAGUUCCCAGCACCCACAUAAUGCCUCACACCUGUAACUCCUAUUUCAGAGACGGUGACACCCUCUUCUAGCCUCUGCAAGCCCUGCACAAAUGUGCUAUGCAUACUCUCAGGUAAGAUACUCACACACAUAAAACAAAAACAAACGAACGCUUUCAAACUUAAAAAUCCAUUAUAGCUAUGGGUUUUCUGUUAAGAUGUUUUUUGUCUAUCUCUCUCUCUCUCUCUCUCUCUCUCUCUCUCUCUCUCUCUCUCUCUCUCUGUGUCUGUGUGUGUGUGUGUGUGUGUGUUUGUGUGUUUGUGUGUACACACUCUGGUCCUAUGGAAGAGGAGGAAGUAGUCUUAAGACACCAAGAUAUUUCUCUAGCCCACAGGUGUUUUUAAUUUUCAGGUCAGGAAACGGCAUUGUCAGACAGAUAUUCUUACUUGCCUCUGCACUGGGUUAUAUUAGGAUACACUAUGUAAGGUGAAGUUAUGUGCAAUUUAGGAAUGCUUCCAAGGGACCUGUGGAUCACUCUUAAGUAUUAGUGCUUGAUACUAAACCACAACCCAGUACGCAAUGGUUAGAGGUUAGCUGUAACACACACCGAGUCCUGCACAAAGAGCCACCAGGACAGAGAUGCCAAUGGUGUCAAGGGCCUAGAAGCCUCCUCAAGAGCAAAGAAAGCCAGGCAAAGGCCAUGGUGGAAAAGCAGGCCCUACCUGCCCUGAUGCCUGGGACCAUAGAGAAGAAGCUGGGCCCAGGCAUGGCGGGACAGUGAACCUUGGAAGAGCACAGGCCGAGGAAAAGAGUUAGUGUAGGCUGUCCCACUUGACCUGAC
This is a non-coding RNA of Rattus norvegicus (Norway rat), 3802 nucleotides long. Lineage: Eukaryota; Metazoa; Chordata; Mammalia; Rodentia; Muridae. The record is from RefSeq and is a predicted model, not a curated record.